RNAcentral lists this unclassified non-coding RNA (7058 nucleotides) under Leishmania donovani. Its description in RNAcentral is "gene:LdHU3.22.1700(CDS-product:hypothetical_prote in_conserved)". Lineage: Eukaryota; Euglenozoa; Kinetoplastea; Trypanosomatida; Trypanosomatidae. The record is from RNAcentral.
CCGCACGCGCGCGUGUCUCACACGUUGUUUGCUCCGCCGCUUUUCGCUUCUUUUCGGCUUCUUCCCUCUAGACUGUUUCCUUGGCGCCGUAGUUUUUCUACUGCUGUUAUUAUGAGGGCACCCAAGCGUCCCCCGUGUCCCUCCGCCAUACACACACACACACACACAGAGACACACUCACACGGUACACGGCAGUGCUAACAAAGGUGCCGUCGCCUCCUUUAUCAUUUUAUUAUUAUUAUCAAAUCCUUGCUUAACCCCUGUCCCCAUCCCAGCCUAUAGAGCCCCAUACACGAGCACCUCUGCACCGGUACGUGUAAGCGUAAACACACAUACACACACACACACACACAUCGAGCAGCUUCGGACAUCUACGCUGUCUUCUUGUUUCUCCUUUUCUGUUUUGCGGGACCCUCCCCACGCGCGUUUGUGCCUGUCUUUGUGCUUCUCUUUCUCCUCGGUAUUCACCACCUCUGAGGCUGCACACCUCACGUAAGCACGCACGCUCACUUCAGGGGUGUACAGAAGCAGCGGGUAGCAACAAAGAGCUCUAGGAAGCAGCUGCGUACCGAUAGGGCUGGUGGGGAUGAGCUCAUCUCGCGCUCGACUGCGAGCACAGCCGCUGCGCCAGCAGCAGCAACCCGUGUUGCAUCGCAGCGAUUCCUCUCCGCAGUCAACGGUGAGCGGCACUUUGCGAGGCACCUCCUCCAGCGUGAGGUUCGAGGACACCAGCAGGGAUCGCCGUUCCUCAAAAAGUGCUGCUGUCAGGGCAGAGCAGCGCUCAACGGUGUUACAGACGGCCGGCGGCCGGCGUGCGGAGAACACACCUUUGGUCUCCUUGCGUGGCUCACGUGAGAAGAGGGUAAACUUCAUGGAGACCGAAAAGGAACUCGCGACAGCAUCCUCCUCGCCGCUCUCCCUAGCGCACGAGCUCGCCGAGACGCAGCGCGAGUUGGAGCGACUUCGGAUGCAGCUGAGAAACUCCAGCGAACACGAACAGCAGACGGAAGAGUAUGUGUCGGGGUUAGAGGCCACUGUGGAGGCCCAGCGACACGACAAUCUUCUGCUGCGCCAUCAUCUAGCUAACCGGCAGCUCUUGGCGGAGGUGUUAGAAGAGGAGUACCGAGAUCUUGUGGAAGCACAGCAGCAGAUGCACCUGCAGCAACACCCCAUCGCCUGCCCGCAGCCGCUUAUCACACAUGCGUCCACAGGCACUAUGACGGUGGCGUCGCCAGAGAACGCCUUUGGAGAUGGCAUCGCGCAACCUUCUUCCCUUUCUGCCUUCUGCACACAGCUGCCUGAUCGACAGAGCAACUUUGCGGGUCCCUCUCCGCCGCUCUCUCCGACGCAGUCGAUGCCGACAUCAUAUAACCACGUCUACGGAGCAGCUGGAGGGCCACAUAUGCAUGAGUUGCCACUGCAUUCGCCGACGGUGACCGCUCUCCGCGACCGGUGGGCACAGAUGCAGAUAGCGCACGAGGCGUUGCCGCACGGGUAUGCGGAUCAGCAAGAGGCACUUCAGCGUCUCCCUUUUCUGCAGCAGCAACGCAAUAAUGGCGCCAACCCCACAUCUAUUCCCAUUGGUGGUACUACCGAUAAUCGCUUCACGUCACCACCGCAGCACAUCUCCGUCAGCGAAGAGACCCUUUUCUCCAGCUCAACGACGUCAUCUGCCCCCCACAGCGCAUGCACCAUCACAGACACAGCCGGCACAUCACAGCAGGCGGCCGCUACGAAGCACCGACCCCGAUCCCUUGGAAUCCGCUCCCGUGAAACAGAACAUGCCAUCCCCAACGCCCUCGAUACCCCAAACAGCGUCCACCAAAGCUUAGUCCGCGGGCACCCACACCGCGACGCUUCCCCGAGCGCCGCCAGCGAAGCUGGGCCACUACUCGAACAUCGCCACUGUGAGGAACUCUUUGCCGAUCAGCAGCGCUGCGGACACGUUGCCCUAAAGGCCCUACAAGACCAGAUUGCAGAGCAGGAGGCAGAGGUGGCUGACCUGCGCAGCCGUGUAACGGAGCAGGAGGCGGAGGUGGUUGCGCUCCGCCAGCUGCUGGCUGAGGCACAGCGCGAGGCACAGGCCGCCGGCGCAAGACAGCGCGACAGUGGCGCCGCUGUGCAGGCGCUGCGCGACCAGAUGGCGGAGCAGGAGGCGGAGGUGGUUGCGCUCCGCCAGCUGCUGGCUGAGGCACAGCGCGAGGCACAGACCGCCGGCGCAAGACAGCGCGACAGUGGCGCCGCUGUGCAGGCGCUGCGCGACCAGAUGGCGGAGCAGGAGGCGGAGGUGGUUGCGCUCCGCCAGCUGCUGGCUGAGGCGCAGCGCGAGGCACAGGCCGCCGGCCCAAGACAGUGCGACAGUGGCGCCGCUGUGCAGGCGCUGCGCGACCAGAUGGCGGAGCAGGAGGCGGAGGUGGUUGCGCUCCGCCAGCUGCUGGCUGAGGCGCAGCGCGAGGCACAGACCGCCGGCGCAAGACAGCGCGACAGUGGCGCCGCUGUGCAGGCGCUGCGCGACCAGAUGGCGGAGCAGGAGGCGGAGAUGGUUGCGCUCCGCCAGCUGCUGGCUGAGGCGCAGCGCGAGGCACAGGCCGCCGGCCCAAGACAGCGCGACAGUGGCGCCGCUGUGCAGGCGCUGCGCGACCAGAUGGCGGAGCAGGAGGCGGAGAUGGUUGCGCUCCGCCAGCUGCUGGCUGAGGCACAGCGCGAGGCACAGGCCGCCGGCCCAAGACAGCGCGACAGUGGCGCCGCUGUGCAGGCGCUGCGCGACCAGAUGGCGGAGCAGGAGGCGGAGAUGGUUGCGCUCCGCCAGCUGCUGGCUGAGGCGCAGCGCGAGGCACAGACCGCCGGCGCAAGACAGCGCGACAGUGGCGCCGCUGUGCAGGCGCUGCGCGACCAGAUGGCGGAGCAGGAGGCGGAGAUGGUUGCGCUCCGCCAGCUGCUGGCUGAGGCACAGCGCGAGGCACAGGCCGCCGGCCCAAGACAGCGCGACAGUGGCGCCGCUGUGCAGGCGCUGCGCGACCAGAUGGCGGAGCAGGAGGCGGAGAUGGUUGCGCUCCGCCAGCUGCUGGCUGAGGCACAGCGCGAGGCACAGGCCGCCGGCCCAAGACAGCGCGACAGUGGCGCCGCUGUGCAGGCGCUGCGCGACCAGAUGGCGGAGCAGGAGGCGGAGAUGGUUGCGCUCCGCCAGCUGCUGGCUGAGGCACAGCGCGAGGCACAGGCCGCCGGCCCAAGACAGCGCGACAGUGGCGCCGCUGUGCAGGCGCUGCGCGACCAGAUGGCGGAGCAGGAGGCGGAGAUGGUUGCGCUCCGCCAGCUGCUGGCUGAGGCACAGCGCGAGGCACAGGCCGCCGGCCCAAGACAGCGCGACAGUGGCGCCGCUGUGCAGGCGCUGCGCGACCAGAUGGCGGAGCAGGAGGCGGAGGUGGUUGCGCUCCGCCAGCUGCUGGCUGAGGCACAGCGCGAGGCACAGACCGCCGGCGCAAGACAGCGCGACAGUGGCGCCGCUGUGCAGGCGCUGCGCGACCAGAUGGCGGAGCAGGAGGCGGAGAUGGUUGCGCUCCGCCAGCUGCUGGCUGAGACGCAGCGCGAGGCACAGGCCGCCGGCCCAAGACAGCGCGACAGUGGCGCCGCUGUGCAGGCGCUGCGCGACCAGAUGGCGGAGCAGGAGGCGGAGGUGGUUGCGCUCCGCCAGCUGCUGGCUGAGGCACAGCGCGAGGCACAGGCCGCCGGCCCAAGACAGUGCGACAGUGGCGCCGCUGUGCAGGCGCUGCGCGACCAGAUGGCGGAGCAGGAGGCGGAGAUGGUUGCGCUCCGCCAGCUGCUGGCUGAGGCACAGCGCGAGGCACAGGCCGCCGGCCCAAGACAGCGCGACAGUGGCGCCGCUGUGCAGGCGCUGCGCGACCAGAUGGCGGAGCAGGAGGCGGAGGUGGUUGCGCUCCGCCAGCUGCUGGCUGAGGCGCAGCGCGAGGCACAGGCCGCCGGCCCAAGACAGUGCGACAGUGGCGCCGCUGUGCAGGCGCUGCGCGACCAGAUGGCGGAGCAGGAGGCGGAGGUGGUUGCGCUCCGCCAGCUGCUGGCUGAGGCACAGCGCGAGGCACAGGCCGCCGGCGCAAGACAGCGCGACAGUGGCGCCGCUGUGCAGGCGCUGCGCGACCAGAUGGCGGAGCAGGAGGCGGAGAUGGUUGCGCUCCGCCAGCUGCUGGCUGAGGCACAGCGCGAGGCACAGGCCGCCGGCCCAAGACAGCGCGACAGUGGCGCCGCUGUGCAGGCGCUGCGCGACCAGAUGGCGGAGCAGGAGGCGGAGAUGGUUGCGCUCCGCCAGCUGCUGGCUGAGGCGCAGCGCGAGGCACAGACCGCCGGCGCAAGACAGCGCGGUGGUGUCAUUGUGAAAGUGCCCGUGGGACAGGAGGAGGGGGUGCGGUUGGCCGGUGGGUCUGCGGUGGUUGUUCAGGUGGACGGGGGCGCUGGACGCCGUGUUGUGAUAGACACUCUGCGCGAAGGGCCGGAGGGGAAAGGCGAUCCGUUGCGCUGGUAUCGCGAUCGGGGGUCGGUGGAGGGUGCUGCUGCGGAUGAUGAACGUGGGGUUUCUAGCACUGGUGAUGACGAGGACCGGAAGUUAGCGGGUGCUGUUGAUCGGGGGCGCAUCCUGCCCGAGACGGAGGAGCUGCGCAGCGCGCUGGCGGAGUGCAGAGAGAAGCUCACGCUACUGGAAGCUGAGUUGAUGGCUGCCAAGGAAGCUGUGGAGGAGCUGCGGUGGUACGAUGAACGGCGCGACAACUGCGUCGAGGGAAAGCCAUUGCGCCAGACGUACGUGCGGCGCAGUAUGGAGGGCGAGGAGUGGGCAUUGGUGGCGAAUGCCUGCGAGGAGGAACUGAUUUGGAGGCUUCGUGUGGACUGCAGCCGCGCUUGCCAUGUAAACGUGGACUGCGUACGGCGUGUCGAAUAUGUUCUCGGUAGUCUGCACGCUGAGUUUUGUGUGGAGCACAACGCGGACGUGGAGGGCAGUGAGUUGAAGGACCGUGUCGCUGAGUAUCCGUUUCCAGCGACAUGGGCACUCUUCCGGCGAAUCGUUGAGGGACAUACAGUGCCAGGGCCUAUGCAAUGGGCAGUUCCGAGCCGAGCCGAGGAGAAGCUCUUGGCGGAGGAGGCUCUGGCACGUAUUCUCGCGCAGCUGGAGGAGGCGUGUGCCCGCCAGGCAUUCACGUCCGAUUGGUCAGAGCAAAGAACCGAGUUGUUGCGCGCUGCCAAACUAGCACUGGCGGAAGUCGUGGCCGCAUCACGGCGAGAGUGCACUGACAGCUUAGAGCGGCUGGAGGAGCUAGCGGCGUUGUUGUUGGAGGCCCGUGAGAGUGAGCGCGAGUUGCGGGACCGCUUGUUUGCGGCUGAGGAGGACAUGUACGAGCUGCGCCGCCAGCACGACGACGAUCGUGACGGCUUGGUGAGCGCCGAAGCAGAAGCGCGCCGCUCACUAGAUCUGUACGCGGCUCGUGUUGCCGCCCAAGACGAGGCGAUGCGGGUGCAGGUCGAACAGAUCGUCGACUUGCAGGAGGAAGUGCAAGCACUGACAUCUGUUUUGUCCGAUAAAAACGCCGAUCUGGCUAAUGCUCAUGCGCAAGCCGCGGCGCUGUCGAGACAGGUUGACGAGACGGCAGCAGCCUAUGCAGACACGCUGGAGAAGUUGGAAAAGUCCGUGGAGAUGCUAGAUGCGUCGCGCACAAACGAACUGGUCUUAUCGCAAACACUUUACGAGGCAGAGUAUCGGUGCACCCAGUUGCACAAGGCCAUCGAGAUGGACGCCGCGGCGCAUCGUUUUGAGCUAGUUAGCGCAACGGCAGAGCGGGACCGCUUCAAGGAGGGAAUGGAGGUGUUUCGCGAGUUGCUGCCGAGCCUGCUGGCGGCAGCACAGCCCCAGCCCCGAAAGGACAGCGGCGAUGCGGGGGAAGGGGUGGACGAGCGCAGCAGCACGUCUGCGCUCGACGCAGCCUUCUCGGGAGAGGGAUACGCGGUAGCUCAGGGGUUACGCGAGGUGUUGCUGCACCAUCUUGGCUGCGUGGAGCAACUUCGCCGCGACAAGGAAGGCUUGGCCGACGAGCUCGAUGAGGCGGAGAAGGCGCGUGGCGGCUACAUGGCUGCCCUUGAGGAUGCACUGCGGUCGCUAGUGGAGGAGCGCGAACUGCGAAUGCGAGCGCACGAGUCGCAGCUGCAGUACUCUGAGCAGAUGAUGCGAGAGCUGACCAUGAUGCGGAAUGCUGAGGAGGACGAGAUGGUCGAUGACAAGGCAGACAUGGAGGUGAACAGUAACUAUGGCCUGCCCAGCACAUGCAGCAGCAGCAGCCCCGCAGUCUAAACGCCACUGUAACGGCGAAUCGAUAGUGAGGGGAGAAAGGAAACGGGCGAGGUGGAGUUCAGUGUGGACGGAGAAGGUGGGGCUAUACAAGUGCGAGGGUCUUUGCUGUGAUUGCAUGGUCUGCUUCCCUACUCCCGCUCCCCGCCGUGGGUACGCUUCUCGAAAAGCAUAUGCGCCACAUCAAGGGUACGCUGUUGUUUCUGCGCCACCCCGCUCCUCCUCCUCUGUCCAGCAAGCACGUCUUUCUCUGCGUGUGUCGGUCUACCUUUGAUCCCCUCGCGUGCUUGUUUCGGUCUUUGCGCUUGCGCUUGUGCACCGCAUUGUGGCCUCAUUCUUUUUCCUUCUCUUCUUUCCGUGACGGCACGCAUGUUCUCGUUUCCUCCUUGGGCGUCCGUGUUGCGUGCGCGCGCAUCAUGGUCGACGUACGCGCCAACAUUUUUUUUUUCGUUUAGAUUGCGUGUGAGCAUCUCUUUCAAUCGUUGCGACGUGGCCACUCUUGUGUGUUUGCCCGUUUUUUGCAAGGGGCUGUCUGCGCUGUGGCGGGGCACCGCUCAGCGAACGCCAUUGUACAUGCAGGCCGACAUCACCAAGCUCGCACAGCUGGCGCUGGGGCUCGAAGGCGGAAGCGAAAACCGUACGAGGAAAGACAAGGUGCGCAACGCGGCGCCUUCAAGUGGCCGGACGACCACACAAUCGCUCUGCACACGCCAAG